This is a long non-coding RNA of Papio anubis (olive baboon), 3082 nucleotides long. The record is from Ensembl. Lineage: Eukaryota; Metazoa; Chordata; Mammalia; Primates; Cercopithecidae.
AUGUCAGCAUCACCUUUACAUGCCAGGAACAAAUUAUUACAGAAGACCAUACCUAGAACACCCAGCUGGAAGUUAAUGAAUCAGGGAGGAAGACUAAUGACACUGAGUGGUACAUUCCUCCGAAGCAGGGACCGCGUCCAUUCUCCUUCGGGUGGGAGUGGAAGUGCUCUGCGCACAGUGGGCACGCUGCUGAUAAGGCUGUCUAGUCAGUCCCCACGGGGAGAGGCCGGCGCAGCAGAGGAGAACGGCAUAGGCUGGGUCGGACCCGCACUGCAGCAUCUGCGGGGCUCCGACCUGGGACAGACCUCCAAGGCCGGGGGCGAGCAGCAGCAGAGCCGGUGGCGGCGAUCUUCCGGGCCAUUCCCUCCCCCCUACCCCUCCCCUCCCGCCCGCGACCUUCGACCUCCAUCCCGGACCCACGGGGAACUGGCCCGGGGACAAGGAAGAGACGUUAAAGGGAUACCAUCGUCUAGUCAUCCACGGGCCGCCUGGAGUUUUCCCAGGAUUUGCGGCGCGCACUCGCCUCCCCCGCCCACACAGACUUGCUCUCCAGCGCCAACCCGGAUCUGCCUAGGUGCCCACGGGUCCUUCCCGAUCGACUUGAGUGUCCUUCCUCCAGCUCUUGCUUUCCCAGCAUCGAAAACACAAAAGCCUGCCGGAAAUCACCCAGCCUUUGCCUGGUCACUCAGGAGCCCACGGAUAAGCGUGGCUCUGAUUCCUCCAGGUCAGCCCCACGGUUCGCCACCUACCCGAGUUAAUUUCUGCGCCCGCUGACCAAAGGCCCCAACUGGCAACGGGCACAGCUUCUUGGUGCGCUAGUCGCUUCCUUGCCCAGCCUUUCAAGCCUCAGGUCCGGCCCAGGGACCCGGGGACGUGAGCGCAAUUAGUAGCCGGGAGUCCUGCGACCCUGGACCGCGCAGUGCUAAGGCACCCGGCCGGCUAUGCGAGCGGUGUACUCGGCUCUUACUUGUGAAACUUGUUUUCCCCAAUCCCCUGCGUAAAUCUCUCGUGUUGAGAAAAGCAAGGCUUGCAGGAAGCCACUCCGGAUGUUUGCUGCUUUACAUGUGGCAUUUGUGGCUGGCUCUGAUAACGUCCCGGGGCACCAUGUAUUAAAGUGAAGAGACUGAAAUAGAAGGCUCCACACACCGCGCGCGGGUCAGCGACGUCGCCGCCCUCCACACUGCCCCCCGAAAAUAAAUGACAAGCGAAUGAUCAGAAGAAAUGAGAUCUAACUGGGUCACAGUAUGUAAAAGGGACUAGAGUUGGAAGACCACCACAAUUCUCCCCUGUAAAUUUGUAAACUGUGAAUUUAUGAUCCCAGGGAGGGUGUUAUAAGAAGUAGGGGGAGGGGCGCCAAAAUCUACUCCAACCUAUGUUGUGUACUUUCACCUGAUUUCUCUUACCCGACCAAGAUCUGUCCCAAGGAACAAGGGCGAAUAAAAAUAGGGAAACUCGAACGGGCUUGGUGGCUCACGCCUGUAAUCCCAGCACUUUGGGAGGCCAAGGCGGGCGGAUCACCUGAGGUCAGGAGUUUGAGACCAGCCUGACCAAUAUGAUGAAACUCCAUCUCUACUAAAAAUACAAAAAUUAGCCGGGCGUGGUGGCUUGCGUCUGUAAUCCCAGCUACUCUGGAGGCUGAGGCAGGAGAAUCGCUUGAAUCGGCGAGGUGGAGGUUGCCAGCCGAGAUCGUGGCAUUGCACUCCAGCCUGGACAACAAGAGGGAAAUUCCGUCUCAAUAAAUAAAUAAGUAAAUAAAUCAAUAAAAUAUGGAAAUCCCACGUUUUCUUCCCCAUCAUUUUCUCCACCUUCUUGGCUCCCAAGCGCACCUCUCCAGAUAAUGAGCUGGGUGAGGAAGAGCAUGAGGAUGAAGAAAGUGUACAGGGCUAAAUCUGUGCAUGUACAUUUUUUGGACUCACACCUGGAUUGUAUUUCCUGUAGUGUUUUUUAAGGAAUUAGUCAAACAGAUUAGACAGAUAAAAAUGAAUUCUGGAUCAGACAUUGUUUUUAAUUUUCAAUGUUUAUUCUAGGAAAACUCCUUAGCUCAUAAAAGAUUUUGUGUUAAGAGAAAAUUCUGCUUUGAGAUCUUUGAAAAAUAUGUAUUAUUAUCCAGAAAAGUUAGCAAAGAUAUUUAAAAAAAAAAAACCUAGCAAAAAACAAGGUACCACGGGCUUAAUUUGUAGAUUGCUCUCUCUCCUCCUGUAGUUUUGUUGCUUAAUAAUUUUCAAUGUGCUUUUGCUUUAUUCUGAAGCCCAUUUUUUUCCAGAAAAAAAGCUUUAAAAGAAAAGUACACCAUCAUUUAAAUUUGUCUAAAAUCAACUGCUUUCAAAACUACCAAGUAAAAGUAACAUCCCUCUAUGAUUUCUUUAUGCAGAUUUUUUUUUCUUGUUUGAAUCUUAGAGACCCAGGAACUAGAAACACUUUCUUAACUUGUCCUCUAGUCAAGACUUCACAGAUACUUGCAUAAUUAAAUAUAAGUUGGCUUAAAACAAUUGUGUAAGAGUUCUUUUGAGAAAAAGCAAUGCCAGAGAAACUGAAGGCCAGGAGUUUGCAAAAGUUUUGUAUUUUUGUGGAUGCCACUAAAAGCAAGACUGGACAGACAGUCUUGUUGUAGUAUCACACUCAAAGCAGCAGCAUUUUACUUCUCGGAUCCCAGGUGUAAGCUCUACUUUUUUAUCACGCCUUCAUAAUAAAGAAAGUCUGUUCUGGAGAUUGGUAUAUUGAUUUCUUUGCAAAGUCAUCUCUAAUUAUGCAGGAAUGGCUGUUGGUUGCCCUCAAAAACCAACACAAAUACACAAACACACCAGCCUCUCUUAGUGAUUAAGAGCUGCAAGUCUGAAGGCAGACUGCUGGGUGUGAAUUCCACCUUCUCAAUACCGUAGUCUCCAGCAAGUUCCUUAACUUCUCUGCCUCAGUUUCCUCUCCUGUAAGAUAGAGUCUACCUCAGGGUUACUAUGAGGAUACACUCCUUUGCUAAUGCCGGAGCGCGCUACGAAUAGCAGUGGCAGGCUGUGUCAUUUCUUAGCGCUGUACAAGGGCUUGUUUUAAAAGUCUCACUGAAAACUUUUUUUUUCCAGAUCGAAAC